UACGUAGGUGACAAGCGUUGUCCGGAUUUACUGGGCGUAAAGAGCGCGCAGGCGGUCGAUCAAGUCGAGUGUGAAAGCCCCCGGCUCAACUGGGGAGGGUCAUUCGAUACUGAUCGACUCGAAGGCAGGAGAGGGUAGUGGAAUUCCCGGUGUAGUGGUGAAAUGCGUAGAUAUCGGGAGGAACACCAGUGGCGAAGGCGGCAUCCUGGACCAACUCUGACGCUGAGGAGCGAAAGCCAGGGGAGCAAACGGG
Molecule: ribosomal RNA, 253 nt
Filed under: uncultured bacterium
Lineage: Bacteria
Description: partial 16S ribosomal RNA
Rfam family: Bacterial small subunit ribosomal RNA
Source: RNAcentral